Molecule: ribosomal RNA, 225 nt
Filed under: uncultured Acinetobacter sp.
Lineage: Bacteria; Pseudomonadati; Pseudomonadota; Gammaproteobacteria; Moraxellales; Moraxellaceae
Description: partial 16S ribosomal RNA
Rfam family: Bacterial small subunit ribosomal RNA
Source: RNAcentral
UGCGUAGGCGGCUUUUUAAGUCGGAUGUGAAAUCCCUGAGCUUAACUUAGGAAUUGCAUUCGAUACUGGGAAGCUAGAGUAUGGGAGAGGAUGGUAGAAUUCCAGGUGUAGCGGUGAAAUGCGUAGAGAUCUGGAGGAAUACCGAUGGCGAAGGCAGCCAUCUGGCCUAAUACUGACGCUGAGGCGCGAAAGUAGGGGGAGCAAACAGGAUUAGAUACCCUAGUA